Molecule: ribosomal RNA, 434 nt
Filed under: uncultured Clostridium sp.
Lineage: Bacteria; Bacillati; Bacillota; Clostridia; Eubacteriales; Clostridiaceae
Also listed under: 1 other name
Description: partial 16S ribosomal RNA
Rfam family: Bacterial small subunit ribosomal RNA
Source: RNAcentral
ACGGGAGGCAGCAGUGGGGAAUAUUGGACAAUGGGGGAAACCCUGAUCCAGCGACGCCGCGUGAGUGAAGAAGUAUUUCGGUAUGUAAAGCUCUAUCAGCAGGGAAGAUGAUGACGGUACCUGACUAAGAAGCCCCGGCUAACUACGUGCCAGCAGCCGCGGUAAUACGUAGGGGGCAAGCGUUAUCCGGAUUUACUGGGUGUAAAGGGAGCGUAGGCGGCUGUGCAAGUCAGAUGUGAAAACCCGGGGCUUAACUCCGGGACUGCAUUUGAAACUGCGUAGCUUGAGUACUGGAGAGGCAAGCGGAAUUCCUAGUGUAGCGGUGAAAUGCGUAGAUAUUAGGAAGAACACCGGUGGCGAAGGCGGCUUGCUGGACAGAGACUGACGCUGAGGCUCGAAAGCGUGGGGAGCAAACAGGAUUAGAUACCCUGGUA